GACGAACGCUGGCGGCGUGCUUAACACAUGCAAGUCGAACGGAAAGGCCCUGCUUUUGUGGGGUGCUCGAGUGGCGAACGGGUGAGUAACACGUGAGUAACCUGCCCUUGACUUUGGGAUAACUUCAGGAAACUGGGGCUAAUACCGGAUAGGAGCUCCUGCUGCAUGGUGGGUGUUGGAAAGUUUCGGCGGUUGGGGAUGGACUCGCGGCUUAUCAGCUUGUUGGUGGGGUAGUGGCUUACCAAGGCUUUGACGGGUAGCCGGCCUGAGAGGGUGACCGGCCACAUUGGGACUGAGAUACGGCGCAGACUCCUACGGGAGGCAGCAGUGGGGAAUAUUGCACAAUGGGCAGAAGCCUGAUGCAGCAACGCCGCGUGCGGGAUGACGGCCUUCGGGUUGUAAACCGCUUUCGCCUGUGACGAAGCGUGAGUGACGGUAAUGGGUAAAGAAGCACCGGCUAACUACGUG
Molecule: ribosomal RNA, 468 nt
Filed under: uncultured bacterium
Lineage: Bacteria
Description: partial 16S ribosomal RNA
Rfam family: Bacterial small subunit ribosomal RNA
Source: RNAcentral